GACGAACGCUGGCGGCGUGCCUAAUACAUGCAAGUUGAGCGAUGAAGAUUGGUGCUUGCACCAAUUUGAAGAGCAGCGAACGGGUGAGUAACGCGUGGGGAAUCUGCCUUUGAGCGGGGGACAACAUUUGGAAACGAAUGCUAAUACCGCAUAACAACUUUAAACAUAAGUUUUAAGUUUGAAAGAUGCAAUUGCAUCACUCAAAGAUGAUCCCGCGUUGUAUUAGCUAGUUGGUGAGGUAAAGGCUCACCAAGGCGAUGAUACAUAGCCGACCUGAGAGGGUGAUCGGCCACAUCGGGACUGAGACACGGCCCAAACUCCUACGGGAGGCAGCAGUAGGGAAUCUUCGGCAAUAGGCGAAAGUCUGACCGAGCAACGCCGCGUGAGUGAAGAAGGUUUUCGGAUCGUAAAACUCUGUUGGUAGAGAAGAACGUUGGUGAGAGUGGAAAGCUCAUCAAGUGACGGUAACUACCCAGAAAGGGACGGCUAACUACGUG
Molecule: ribosomal RNA, 497 nt
Filed under: uncultured bacterium
Lineage: Bacteria
Description: partial 16S ribosomal RNA
Rfam family: Bacterial small subunit ribosomal RNA
Source: RNAcentral